Molecule: ribosomal RNA, 253 nt
Filed under: uncultured bacterium
Lineage: Bacteria
Description: partial 16S ribosomal RNA
Rfam family: Bacterial small subunit ribosomal RNA
Source: RNAcentral
UACGUAGGGUGCGAGCGUUGUCCGGAAUUAUUGGGCGUAAAGAGCUCGUAGGCGGCCUGUCGCGUCUGCUGUGAAAUCCCGGGGCUUAACUCCGGGACUGCAGUGGAUACGGGCAGGCUAGAGUCCGGCAGGGGAGACUGGGAUUCCUGGUGUAGCGGUGAAAUGCGCAGAUAUCAGGAGGAACACCGGUGGCGAAGGCGGGUCUCUGGGCCAUAACUGACGCUGAGAAGCGAAAGCGUGGGGAGCGAACAGG